Long non-coding RNA from Ahaetulla prasina, 2287 nucleotides. RefSeq lists it as uncharacterized. The record is from RefSeq and is a predicted model, not a curated record. The transcript has 7 exons. NCBI's taxonomy places the organism in Eukaryota, Metazoa, Chordata, Lepidosauria, Squamata, Colubridae.
CUAGAGGCUAAGGAGGCGUUGCAAAAGAGCAGGUAGGCAGGAUAUAUAAGGUGCCUAACGUGCUACAUCUCAUUUAAGGGCUGCUCCUAUUAUUAGGCAAAGUGAAGCAGCCACCUAAGGCAACAGAGGCUGGAGGACCGGAGAAACAGUCCCGUAGCCAGUUCAGCUAAAUCCUUGGAUGGAACUCCACGUACCACAUAUCUAUCCUGCAUCAAAUAAAGUCAAAAUCAGAAGCAGACAGACAACUCACCUGACACAGAAAUAUAUAAUGACUGGGUGGAAUUCUUACUGAGUUGCAGAUAAUUAUAUACAGGAUGCAACAUGAAGUGGAGUGCGACCAUCAUAAUCACCAGAGCUCAAGUUUCCACCCUACAAUAAAGUUGUUUAAAAUAUUCUGGAAGCCAUGGAAUAACCUCUUGGAAAAAUACAAUUCAGAUUAACUGAUGUUAAGCAAACCAUUCAUGGUCAUUAAAUAUGACAUCAACUUGAAACUUAAUGCUGACAACCCAAAUGACAAACACAACACUGUACAGUUUCCAGAUUGUACCAGCAACCCGCUAUGACUUCAAUAAUCCAAGCAUGUAAAGAAAAGGAAACUGUCUCCUGAUUGAGAUGGGACAUUAAUCAUACAAUCCAGAAUCUUCCUGUCCAGGAAACCAAACGUUCUCAGAAGCAGAACACAGUCAAACUAUGAAACUCCUAGAUUUGUUCUAGACCUUCUGCUAUGAGUGACCAAGCUGUUUCUUCUAGCAGUUGCUGCCAGUCCUUGGACAUACACAAGAGAUAAUAGUUGAAGAAACCCAAGACACUUUUUCAUUAGCAAAAGGUAUAUUUGGAAACAGGAAAAGAAAAUGAUUCCUUAAUGUCUAUGGAGACUCAAAAUCAUUAGUGUCAUGAUUGUCUCAAAGGUCCUUUUUCCAAAAGGCAACUGGACUUUCUUGAUUUUUUUGUUGAAAACGUUUUGCUUCUCAUCCAAAAAGCUUCUUCAUUUCAUGAUUCCUUACUUCAAUCUAAACUAUAACACUUAGAUGAGUCCAUUCAAAGUUGCAGUGUUUGAUCCCUAAAACACUAGAGUAAAAGCAGGCUAAAUGCUCUCCUUAACAAUGAUCAAUGUGCAUAUUAUAACUCAUGAGUUCGUUUCAGACUUGGAAGAAGCAUUAUUGAGUGAUCAAGGCCAUACUUGCCUAACCCAGUGACCUAAUGGUUAUUAUUAUUAUUAUUAUUUUAUUAGAUUUAUAAACCGCCCUUCUCCCGAAGGACUCAGGGCGGUGUACAGCCAAAGUAAAAAGAAACAAUGUACAGUUAAAAUAAAAUUAAAAAACUUAUUAUACAGUGUGGCCGAAAUUAAAAUAGUUAAAAAACUAAAAAAAAAAACCAAUUAAAACCAGAGAUAAAUUUAAAAUUUAAAACUAAACAAUUUAAGAAAGCCCCGCACGAACAAACAGAUAUGUUUUCAGUUCGCGGCGAAAAGUCCGAAGGUCAGGUAUUUGACGUAAACCAGGGGGAAGUUCAUUCCAAAGAGUGGGGGCCCCCACAGAGAAGGAUCUUCCAGCCAGCCGACAUUGUUAGGGAAUGUGGCUGUUGUCAUCCAACACAUUAGGAAGGUAUCAGUUCUGGAAGACUGGACUUGUCACUAGCCCAAUUGAGCAUUCCAAAUAAAACUAUAAUAGUGGGCCGGAAUGAACAUGGUUUCUUCAAGAGCCAACAAAGGCCUGACAUACACCUACAUGCAUUAAUGACAUGCAAUCUGACAUCUUAAUUACAUUGCAUUUGAGAUAAUGUUAUAACAUCAUGGCAUUUCGGUUUUGAUUUAAAUCUGUGAUACAAGCCACUUCAUGUUGCAUUCAACAAGUGAUGAAAUGUAGAUGUGGACAUUAAUACUUACACAAGCUGUUUGCCUUUUAGCUUUUUCUUCUUGUAUUUUUUAGUCACCUGAGAACUAUUAUGUAGUACAAUAAGGGAUUAGAAAGCUAUAUCAGGCCAGUAGAGUUUUGGAAACAUUUUCCAUCAAGAAUAUGCUUCUUCCUUAAAUCAGCUACCAUCAUUUGGAAUAUAGGGUGGCUUAACAACAGAAUCAUGUUUAGAAUAUUAACAUGCCAGAUGUUAGCAUAAACUUAAAGUAUUAUUAAACAUAUCAUCAUUCUGAAAAUAUUGUGAUGUUCUUAAUAUCAGAUGAACUGAUCUCUCAAGUUUCCAUGUCCACAGCCAUUUUUAGAGCUUCGUAGAUGUCACUACCUUAAAUGGUAAUAAAUUUACUAUUGUAGUAUAGCAAUAGCACUCAGACUUA